Molecule: ribosomal RNA, 497 nt
Filed under: uncultured bacterium
Lineage: Bacteria
Description: partial 16S ribosomal RNA
Rfam family: Bacterial small subunit ribosomal RNA
Source: RNAcentral
GAUGAACGCUGGCGGCGUGCCUAAUACAUGCAAGUCGAGCGAACAGACGAGGAGCUUGCUCCUCUGACGUUAGCGGCGGACGGGUGAGUAACACGUGGAUAACCUACCUAUAAGACUGGGAUAACUUCGGGAAACCGGAGCUAAUACCGGAUAAUAUAUUGAACCGCAUGGUUCAAUAGUGAAAGACGGUUUUGCUGUCACUUAUAGAUGGAUCGGGGCCGCAUUAGCUAGUUGGUAAGGUAACGGCUUACCAAGGCAACGAUGCGUAGCCGACCUCAGUGGGGGAUCGGCCACAUUGGAAGUUAGACACGGUCCAGACUCCUAAGGGAGGCAGCAGUAGGGAAUCUUCCGCAAUGGGCGAAAGCUUGACGGAGCAACGCCGCGUGAGUGAUGAAGGUCUUCGGAUCGUAAAACUCUGUUAUUAGGGAAGAACAAAUGUGUAAGUAACUAUGCACGUCUUGACGGUACCUAAUCAGAAAGCCACGGCUAACUACGUG